AUACGUAGGGUCCAAGCAUUAUCCGGAUUGACUGGGUGUAAAGAGUUGCGUAGGUGGUGUCUUAAGUAGAUAGUGAAAUCUGGUGGCUCAACCAUUCAGACUAUUAUCUAAACUGGGGCGCUCGAGAGCGUUAGGGGUAGCUGGAAUUUCUAGUGUAGGAGUGAAAUCCGUAGAUAUUAGAAAGAACACCGAUAGCGUAGGCAGGCUACUGGGACGUUUCUGACACUAAGGCACGAAAGCGUAGGGAGCAAACGGGAUUAGAUACCCCGGUAGUCUACGCUGUAAACGAUGGAUACUAGCAGUUUCGGGUAUCGACCCCUGGAGUUGCGAAGCUAACGCGUUAAGUAUCCCACCUGUGUAGUACGAUCGCAAGAUUAAAACUUAAAGGAAUUGACGGGG
RNAcentral lists this ribosomal RNA (399 nucleotides) under uncultured bacterium. Its description in RNAcentral is "partial 16S ribosomal RNA". It matches the Rfam family "Bacterial small subunit ribosomal RNA", at positions 523 to 918 of the family's 1533-position model. The record is from RNAcentral.